Pantherophis guttatus is the source of this 725-nucleotide long non-coding RNA. RefSeq lists it as uncharacterized. NCBI's taxonomy places the organism in Eukaryota, Metazoa, Chordata, Lepidosauria, Squamata, Colubridae. The record is from RefSeq and is a predicted model, not a curated record.
UGCAACCAGAAUUCUUAACAGUAAUGGAAUGCUUCUGUAUAUGUGUGUUGGGGGUGGGGGGAGUAAUGAUUCAUUUGUGUCCAGAUGCUGGGGGUGGGCUAAGCCACCUUUCUUUUCUAGAUGCUUGCUAUCUUUCUCAGUGGUAGAAGUGAUCCCUUGAUGAGGAUGACUGUCAUCUGUCAUAUUCUAGGAACUUUUCCAAGAUACACUGCUUCAUUUACAGUAAUGAAAUGCUUCUUAAACCAAGAUGAUAUUAUUUUUCUUCUUUCUAAGCAGUUUUGUCCAAUAUUUUUCUCAAUAUGUACACUUUGAGGUCCUAUCUUUUAGUUAAUUUUAGUUAAUGCUUUUAAAAUGGAAGAUGUCUGAGGUCAGGUAAACUCAAGACCAGGCGAUCUCCCACCUUGCAGCAUGUUCUGGUUGCCUACAUGCCACCAUGGUAGUGAUUUGAUUAUAGUGAUCUAACAUCCUUGGAUGUGCUGUUGAGCCAAAAUUGCUGCUAUAGUUGUGAUAUUUGCUUACCUGGGAAGAAAUCUCAUUGAACACAGUGAGCUGCAUAUUUCAGCCACACUGCCUUAGUGCUUUAAUUCUGAAUAUUCAUCAGUACUACUGUUUUUGAAUGUAAAAUUCCUAAUGUAAAAACUCAAGAUUCACUUCUAAAUAUUCAUGUACAGGAUUGUUCUGAGAAAUUUUGUCAAAAAUAUAUAAAAAGAAAUGUGUUUGCUUUU